RNAcentral lists this ribosomal RNA (509 nucleotides) under Salmonella enterica subsp. enterica serovar Typhimurium. RNAcentral describes it as "partial 23S ribosomal RNA". It matches the Rfam family "Bacterial large subunit ribosomal RNA", at positions 1154 to 1636 of the family's 2925-position model. The record is from RNAcentral. Lineage: Bacteria; Pseudomonadati; Pseudomonadota; Gammaproteobacteria; Enterobacterales; Enterobacteriaceae.
CGUAUCACCCAAGACAACUUUACGGAGUUGACGAUUGACGGAGCGAAGCGACGUCAAAGCGUUCAUUAAAGUCGAGUUGGCUUAGGGAUACGUUCGUUGGGUAGGGGAGCGUUCUGUAAGCCUGUGAAGGUGUGUCGUGAGGCAUGCUGGAGGUAUCAGAAGUGCGAAUGCUGACAUAAGUAACGAUAAAGCGGGUGAAAAGCCCGCUCGCCGGAAGACCAAGGGUUCCUGUCCAACGUUAAUCGGGGCAGGGUGAGUCGACCCCUAAGGCGAGGCCGAAAGGCGUAGUCGAUGGGAAACGGGUUAAUAUUCCCGUACUUGGUGUUACUGCGAAGGGGGGACGGAGAAGGCUAUGUUGGCCGGGCGACGGUUGUCCCGGUUUAAGCGUGUAGGUGUGUGUUCCAGGUAAAUCCGGUUCACUUUAACACUGAGGCGUGACGACGAGGCACUACGGUGCUGAAGCAACAAAUGCCCUGCUUCCAGGAAAAGCCUCUAAGCAUCAGGUAACA